This 576-nucleotide ribosomal RNA is filed under the name uncultured bacterium. RNAcentral's name for it is "partial 16S ribosomal RNA". It matches the Rfam family "Bacterial small subunit ribosomal RNA", at positions 355 to 932 of the family's 1533-position model. The record is from RNAcentral.
UGGGGAAUUUUGGACAAUGGGCGAAAGCCUGAUCCAGCAAUGCCGCGUGUGUGAAGAAGGCCUUCGGGUUGUAAAGCACUUUUGUCCGGAAAGAAAUCCUUGGCUCUAAUACAGUCGGGGGAUGACGGUACCGGAAGAAUAAGCACCGGCUAACUACGUGCCAGCAGCCGCGGUAAUACGUAGGGUGCAAGCGUUAAUCGGAAUUACUGGGCGUAAAGCGUGCGCAGGCGGUUUGCUAAGACCGAUGUGAAAUCCCCGGGCUCAACCUGGGAACUGCAUUGGUGACUGGCAGGCUAGAGUAUGGCAGAGGGGGGUAGAAUUCCACGUNUAGCAGUGAAAUGCGUAGAGAUGUGGAGGAAUACCGAUGGCGAAGGCAGCCCCCUGGGCAAUACUGACGCUCAUGCACGAAAGCGUGGGGAGCAAACAGGAUUAGAUACCCUGGUAGUCCACGCCCUAAACGAUGUCACUAGUUGUUGGGGAUUCAUUUCCUUAGUAACGUAGCUAACGCGUGAAGUUGACCGCCUGGGGAGUACGUCGCAAGAUUAAAACUUAAAGGAAUUGACGGGGUCAUAGCUG